CGCUCAGGUGGCCUAGUGGUUAGAGCGUCCGCCUCGGACGCGGGAAGUUGUGGGUUCGAACCUCGGUCGAGUCA
This is a non-coding RNA of Potamilus streckersoni, 74 nucleotides long. NCBI's taxonomy places the organism in Eukaryota, Metazoa, Mollusca, Bivalvia, Unionida, Unionidae. The record is from the annotation of a GenBank genome assembly.